RNAcentral lists this ribosomal RNA (291 nucleotides) under Mysmena sp. MYSM-005-ARG. RNAcentral describes it as "partial 18S ribosomal RNA". It matches the Rfam family "Eukaryotic small subunit ribosomal RNA", at positions 1144 to 1449 of the family's 1831-position model. The record is from RNAcentral. Lineage: Eukaryota; Metazoa; Arthropoda; Arachnida; Araneae; Mysmenidae.
UUAAAAGAAUUGGCGGAAGGGCACCACCAGGAUUGGGGCCUGCGGCUUAAUUUGACUCAACACGGGAAAACUUACCCGGCCCGGACACAGGCAGGAUUGACAGAUUAAGAGCUCUUUCUUGAUUCUGUGGGUGGUGGUGCAUGGCCGUUCUUAGUUGGUGGAGCGAUUUGUCUGGUUAAUUCCGAUAACGAACGAGACUCUAGCCUACUAAAUAGGCGUUCCGAUCCUAUUUAAAAUAGUCGGACGAUUUCUUCUUAGAGGGACAAGCGGCGUUUAGCCGCACGAGACAGA